AUGGGUAGUUCUCUUCAACAUAUUGUGUUGUUUGUUGUAUUGCUUCUUGCUAAUACACUCACAACACAAUGCUUUCCUUCCAUUGAAGAGCAAGGAAACUCAACAGUGCCAUGGCCCUCUGAUGUUGCUCCGGAUCUCAUCUUUCCAAAUCAAAAUCUUACCUCAAAUGAAACUUCAAUAAUCACUUAUUACUCAAUUCAUACAUGGUACCCAGAAGGUGGCAAGGAUCACUAUUAUGGUGUGGAGGCCACAAUAGAUGUUUACAACCAUGAUUUACAACUUGGACAAUCAAGUGCAGCAAUGAUUUCAAUUGUAAAUAGAGGAGAUGGAAAACCAUCUUCGCUCAGCGGGAUUCAAUUUGGGUGGCAUAUUUUCCCAUGGCUGUACAAGGAUUCACACACUCAUUUCUACACGUCUUGGAUUAGUGGUGGAUCUUCUAGCAAGGGUUGUUGGAACAUGAAAUGCCCUGGCUAUCACAAGACAUCAUCGAGGAUAGCUCCAGGCCAGGUCAUCAGUCCACUUUCACGUAUCAAUGGCAACAAAUCAUAUAUCACACUAAGAAUAUUCAAGGAACAAUCUUCAGGUGAUUGGCAGAUCCAUGUGGGAGCUAAUAGUGGGCAUCCAAAACCCGUGGGUUACUUCCCUAAAUCCUUGAUUACAGGACUCAUAGAUAAACCCGUGGAGAUAAGCUUCGGUGGCUAUGUCAAGCAUAGGAAAUCACGACCAAGUCCUCCAACGGGAAGUGGCUAUGUUUUCGAAACCGGCAGGGCUGCAUCCUUCGGUAUACUCAAGCUUAUCGAUGCACAGGGUAUUGAUCAUAACAUCGUUGCAGAUCUUCCAUCUUCUACUGAUGGAAAAGGUUGCUAUACUCCUUCAAAAAUAAAGUGGGCACAGUUCUUUUAUGGGGGGCCUAGUUGUGCUGAUUAA
This 927-nucleotide ribosomal RNA is filed under the name Triticum aestivum (bread wheat). Its description in RNAcentral is "partial small subunit ribosomal RNA". Lineage: Eukaryota; Viridiplantae; Streptophyta; Magnoliopsida; Poales; Poaceae. The record is from RNAcentral.